Molecule: transfer RNA, 65 nt
Filed under: Mileewa margheritae
Lineage: Eukaryota; Metazoa; Arthropoda; Insecta; Hemiptera; Cicadellidae
Description: tRNA-Trp
Source: RNAcentral
AAGAUUUUAAGUUAAUUAAACUAUUAACGUUCAAAGUUAAAAUUACUUUUUUUUAGUAAAUCUUA